Molecule: ribosomal RNA, 254 nt
Filed under: uncultured bacterium
Lineage: Bacteria
Description: partial 16S ribosomal RNA
Rfam family: Bacterial small subunit ribosomal RNA
Source: RNAcentral
UACGGGGGGGGCAAGCGUUGUUCGGAAUUACUGGGCGUAAAGGGCUCGUAGGCGGCCAACUAAGUCAGACGUGAAAUCCCUCGGCUUAACCGGGGAACUGCGUCUGAUACUGGACGGCUUGAGUUUGGGAGAGGGAUGCGGAAUUCCAGGUGUAGCGGUGAAAUGCGUAGAUAUCUGGAGGAACACCGGUGGCGAAGGCGGCAUCCUGGACCAACACUGACGCUGAGUGAGCGAAAGCCAGGGGAGCAAACGGG